Molecule: ribosomal RNA, 427 nt
Filed under: uncultured fungus
Lineage: Eukaryota; Fungi
Description: eukaryotic LSU rRNA
Rfam family: Eukaryotic large subunit ribosomal RNA
Source: RNAcentral
GACCUCAAAUCAGGUAGGACUACCCGCUGAACUUAAGCAUAUCAAUAAGCGGAGGAAAAGAAACUAACAAGGAUUCCCCUAGUAACUGCGAGUGAAGAGGGAAGAGCUCAAAUUUAAAAUCUGUCAGUCUUUGGCUGACCGAGUUGUAAAUUAGAGAAGUGCUAUCAGCGCUGGCCUGUGCAAAAGUCUCUUGGAAAAGAGCAUCAUAGAGGGUGACAAUCCCGUCUUUGGUACAGAGCUCCAGGGCUACAUGAUGUGCUCUCGAUGAGUCGAGUUGUUUGGGAAUGCAGCUCUAAAUGGGUGGUAAAUUCCAUCUAAAGCUAAAUAUUGGCGAGAAACCGAUAGCGCACAAGUACCGUGAGGGAAAGAUGAAAAGAACUUUGAAAAGAGAGUUAAACAGUACGUGAAAUUGUUGAAAGGGAAACGC